CUACGGGAGGCAGCAGUGGGGAAUAUUGCACAAUGGAGGAAACUCUGAUGCAGCAACGCCGCGUGGAGGAUGACACUUUUCGGAGCGUAAACUCCUUUUAUAUAGGAAGAUAAUGACGGUACUAUAUGAAUAAGCACCGGCUAACUCCGUGCCAGCAGCCGCGGUAAUACGGAGGGUGCAAGCGUUACUCGGAAUCACUGGGCGUAAAGAGCGUGUAGGCGGGUUAAUAAGUCAGAAGUGAAAUCCUAUGGCUCAACCAUAGAACUGCUUUUGAAACUGUUAACCUAGAAUAUGGGAGAGGUAGAUGGAAUUUCUGGUGUAGGGGUAAAAUCCGUAGAGAUCAGAAGGAAUACCGAUUGCGAAGGCGAUCUACUGGAACAUUAUUGACGCUGAGACGCGAAAGCGUGGGGAGCAAACAGGAUUAGAUACCCUUGUAGUC
RNAcentral lists this ribosomal RNA (439 nucleotides) under uncultured bacterium. Its description in RNAcentral is "partial 16S ribosomal RNA". It matches the Rfam family "Bacterial small subunit ribosomal RNA", at positions 339 to 795 of the family's 1533-position model. The record is from RNAcentral.